RNAcentral lists this ribosomal RNA (506 nucleotides) under uncultured bacterium. RNAcentral describes it as "partial 16S ribosomal RNA". It matches the Rfam family "Bacterial small subunit ribosomal RNA", at positions 28 to 523 of the family's 1533-position model. The record is from RNAcentral.
GAUGAACGCUAGCUACAGGCUUAACACAUGCAAGUCGAGGGGUAACGAGAGGAAAGCUUGCUUUCCUUGUCGACGACCGGCGCACGGGUGAGUAACGCGUAUCCAACCUGCCCCCAACUAGGGAAUAACCUUGCGAAAGUAAGACUAAUACCCUAUAAUUUCCUCAGAUGUCAUCUGACGAGGAAUAAAGAUUUAUCGGUUGUGGAUGGGGAUGCGUCUGAUUAGCUUGUUGGCGGGGUAACGGCCCACCAAGGCAACGAUCAGUAGGGGUUUUGAGAGGAAGGACCCCCAGAUUGGAACUGAGACACGGUCCAAACUCCUACGGGAGGCAGCAGUGAGGAAUAUUGGUCAAUGGGCGGAAGCCUGAACCAGCCAAGUGGCGUGCAGGAUGGCGGCCCUAUGGGUUGUAAACUGCUUUUAUACAGGAAUAAAGUUAGCCACGUGUGGUUAUUUGUAGGUACUGUAUGAAUAAGGACCGGCUAAUUCCGUGCCAGCCGCCGCCGUAA